This 467-nucleotide ribosomal RNA is filed under the name uncultured organism. RNAcentral describes it as "partial 16S ribosomal RNA". It matches the Rfam family "Bacterial small subunit ribosomal RNA", at positions 332 to 796 of the family's 1533-position model. The record is from RNAcentral.
UACACUCCUGCGGGAGGCAGCAGUGAGGAAUAUUGGACAAUGGGUGGAAGCCUGAUCCAGCCAUCCCGCGUGCAGGAAGACGGCCCUAUGGGUUGUAAACUGCUUUUAUCUGGGGAUAAACCUACUUACGUGUAAGUAGCUGAAGGUACCAGAAGAAUAAGCACCGGCUAACUCCGUGCCAGCAGCCGCGGUAAUACGGAGGGUGCAAGCGUUAUCCGGAUUUAUUGGGUUUAAAGGGUCCGUAGGCGGACUGAUAAGUCAGUGGUGAAAUCCGACAGCUUAACUGUCGAACUGCCAUUGAUACUGUUAGUCUUGAGUAAGGUUGAAGUGGCUGGAAUAAGUAGUGUAGCGGUGAAAUGCAUAGAUAUUACUUAGAACACCAAUUGCGAAGGCAGGUCACUAAGUCUUAACUGACGCUGAUGGACGAAAGCGUGGGGAGCGAACAGGAUUAGAAACCCUAGUAGUCC